CGGCACUGGCACAUGCCACCCCUCAUGACACACGGACAGGGACACACGGACACGGCUGCUGAGCGCGUUCGGUGCCGGCAGCUCCGGGCUGGGAGCGGGGGGAGCUCCCGGACAGGGCCCGGAGCUGCCGGUCCCCGGCACGGGGAAGGGAGCGGGGCACGGGACACUCGGAGACCGCAGGACAGGAGGACUCCGGGCCCUCCUGCACCCACACUGGGAGGGGGUAAGAGCCCAGAGGGUCCUGUCUUUGGGGCUCCUCCUUGGAGGCACCAGCUCGGGCUGUUAGUUUGUUAUUUAAUUAAUGAACCAUGAUUAAAUUAUUCUAAGGACUGAGGGCCAAGGCGGGGAGGGCGGCUGCUCUGGCUCGGAAGGGUGGUCCCAGCUCAGGUGGGGCAGGUGUGGCUGCCCGAGCAGCUACGGGAUGCUCCGACAGGAAAGUGUCCUCAGCAGUUUGGUGGCCCAGGUGUGACCCUGGGCCAUCCCCUUCAGAGCCUCCCUGCUCCAAACCCCCACCCGCCAGCACUGGGUCAGCUCACCUGGAUCUUCGGAGCAAGGAGGAGCCGAAACACAGCAAGGGGACGCUCUUGGCCAAAGUUGUGCAAUUUGGAACAUCGAGGAUGAUUUGAGGCUUCACUGCCCUGGGAGAGAGAGAAAAGGUUGAUGGCAGAGUUGUUGAAGUGUUUUAGAAGUCUGAGAAAUUGUGUGAAGUCCUGGGCUCUCUCAUGUGCCACAGACAGAGUUGAACGUCUGGGAUUCCCUUCAGGCACUUUGGGAGUUCCUUUCACAGCUACCAAAGAGGUGCCCAGACACCGUGAGUGGAGCACAGACACACACACAGAGCAGGUGAUCGCUCUGGGCUGUUAUGGGAUGGCCUCAAGAAGAGGAAUUCAGGGAGAUCUGCACCCACAGGGAUCUCAUCUCCAGCCUGUGCUGUUUGUGCCUGGCUGAAUGGGCUGUCGGGGUGUAAAGCUCAAAUCCUGCACCAGGAGCAGGUUCUUCAGAGGGCAAAUGUCAGCUGAAAUGCUGCUUUCAUUUGGUAUCUGUGUAAGGUUCCUGUGCUUGUAAUAGUUGUUAUUCUGUGUGUGUUUCUAAAAGCUUUCUGUAAGUACAUUUUCCUACAUGUAAAUUUCUAUUAGGUGAGAGGACAGCAAAUGUGCAUGUAAUAUUUGAAGACUUUUUCCAGAAUGAGGAGAACUUGUGGUUGUUCUUGAGGAAUUGGUGUUUUCUGGCCAUAACUGAAGGCAUCACCUUUGUCUGGUUUGCUGCACUGGAACAGCAACAGGAAACUUUGAAUUUUAAAAUUAAUGUUAUUUGUAUUGACUUGGGGCAAACUCUUGCACUUUCCUCCAGGAGGAUGAUCCACAGAGUCCUCCCUGAGCAGGAAAGGGGUUCUGGUGCCUGAUGAUUUGUAUGGCCCCCUCAUGGGGGAGGGAAGGAAGUCCUGUGAUACCAAAAAAAUAAAAAAGUAAAUGAGAAAAUGCUUUUAAAA
This is a long non-coding RNA of Parus major (Great Tit), 1489 nucleotides long. RefSeq lists it as uncharacterized. NCBI's taxonomy places the organism in Eukaryota, Metazoa, Chordata, Aves, Passeriformes, Paridae. The transcript is spliced from 2 exons. The record is from RefSeq and is a predicted model, not a curated record.